RNAcentral lists this transfer RNA (65 nucleotides) under Cichlidogyrus halli. RNAcentral's name for it is "tRNA-Pro". The record is from RNAcentral. Lineage: Eukaryota; Metazoa; Platyhelminthes; Monogenea; Dactylogyridea; Ancyrocephalidae.
CAGUUUAGUAGUUUAUUUAAAACAUUAUUUUUGGGGGAUAAAGAUCUUUUUUUGUAGCUAACUGG